RNAcentral lists this ribosomal RNA (253 nucleotides) under uncultured bacterium. RNAcentral describes it as "partial 16S ribosomal RNA". It matches the Rfam family "Bacterial small subunit ribosomal RNA", at positions 524 to 776 of the family's 1533-position model. The record is from RNAcentral.
UACGGAGGGUGCGAGCGUUGUCCGGAAUCACUGGGCGUAAAGGGCGCGUAGGCGGCCUGAUAAGUAGGGGGUGAAAUCCUGCGGCUUAACCGCAGGGCUGCCUUCUAAACUGUCAGGCUCGAGCACAGUAGAGGCAGGUGGAAUUCCCGGUGUAGCGGUGGAAUGCGUAGAGAUCGGGAAGAACAUCAGUGGCGAAGGCGGCCUGCCGGGCUGUUGCUGACGCUGAGGCGCGACAGCGUGGGGAGCAAACAGG